CUCUGUCUCUCUCUCUGACACACACACAUGAGAAGGAAUCAGGAUCAAGUGGAACGAGAGUCACAGUCUAGUCAGUCAUAUGAACACAGGACUGGUUUAGUCACCAUGAGAAACCUUAUUCUAACCUGGACAUUUCUCUUUAUUUUACAUCUGACCAAAGAGGACACUUCAGUGCAAAAGCUGAGUGCCCCAGAAAAGCAUUUUCUUGUGCUGAUGUGUUCUGACGCUUCAUAUGUUAACUGGAGCCAUGGGCUGGAAAGGAUGAUCGCCUCUAGACAAAGAAAGCAGGUGUCUUACCUGGACCAAAGCAAACACCAGCUGCUUGAAGAUGGCCAGCUCUCCAUUAAAGACCUGCAGGAAUCAGACGCAGGAGAAUAUUACUGCAACCAUCAGCUAGUGGCAGAUAUCACUGUGCUCAAAGGUCAUAACUUUACAGUUCCUGAGGGCACAACUGUUUAUCUUCCAUGUAAGACAUCUAAUAAAAUGAAGCAGAGAUGGGCAUUCAAACGCACUCCUCAGUCCAGAAAAGAGUUCAUCUCCACGCUUUAUAAAAACAGCACCAUAAAGAAAGAGAGAGCUGAUCCAACAUUAAGAUUCACUCACACCACAGAUGACCUGAUUAUCUCAGAUCUCCAGCUGCAGGACUCUGGGCUUUAUCUGUGCAACAACAGAGAGAUGGCUUUCCUUACGGUGACCACAGAAUCGACUGAAAUUGAAAACAGCAGUCCAGAUAUAAAUAAAUACGGUGUGUGUUUAGUGACAGUGGCCGUCCUGCUGGCUUUGUGCAUACUGGCGAUGGUUUGUGUUGGCCUUCUGUCGGUGACGAUCUGCUGGAAAAGCAGGAGAAGGAGAAGAAACAUUAGAAAAGAAACAGGGCCGACAUACAUUGCAUCAGGUCUACAAUUACAAAGGAUGUCAAAUGAAGGCCCCUGGAUGUUGGACACUCAUGAGGAUGCAGGGGAAAUCCAGUACGCGUCUCUGGGUGGGCAGCACUGGAAGCAGACAGACAGACAGCUGAGCAGCAGACAGCAUGUCAUUUACUCCACACUGACCACGUCAUGAAAACAACACACUCAUUUACACUGGAUAUGUACAGUCCAUAUGAGUCAUGUUCACUGAUAUGUAAACAUAAACCAAAUACACAUAAAACACCUUACAUAGAACUGAAAUCACUGUCUUAGCUUUAUUGUCAUCCUACAAAAGCUAGCUUAUAUAGAAACAAACAAAUGAAAAAGAAACCAUAGACUAUAGCAGGCAUAAUAUAGUAACAUAGCACAUGUAAUAUACACUACCAUUUAAUAUAUAUAACAACGAUACUAUAAACUGGUGACAGUAAAUACUUUUAUAAAAUCUUACAAAGAAGUCUAUUUUAAUAAAUGCUGUUUCCUUGAAAUUUUUAUAUAAAGAAUCCUGAAAACAAUAAAUUAUGAUCCUAAAAAAAUUUUUUAAAAAUAUAUUUGAAAAGAAAACAGUUAUUUUAAAUUGCAAAAAUAUUUCACAUUAUUUCCUGUAUUUAAAGGGGUCAUCGGAUGCCCAUUUUCCACAAGUUGAUAUGAUUCUUUAGGGUCUUAAGAAACGUCUAUAUCAUACUUUGGUUAAAGUUUCUCAGUGGUAGUGUAAAACAACACCUUUUUAUCCUGUCAAAAACAGCUCUGUUCACAGCAAGCCGUUUGGGUGCAUGUCCCUUUAAAUGCUAAUGAGCU
Long non-coding RNA from Cyprinus carpio carpio, 1703 nucleotides. The record is from Ensembl. Lineage: Eukaryota; Metazoa; Chordata; Actinopteri; Cypriniformes; Cyprinidae.